GCCUACAGCCAUGCUACCCUGAACAAGCCCUAUCCCGUCUGAUCUUGGAAGCUAAGCAAGGGUUGGGCCUGGUUAGUACUUGGAUGGGAGAUCACCUAAGAAGACCAGGUGCUAUAGGCG
RNAcentral lists this ribosomal RNA (120 nucleotides) under Pteropus alecto (black flying fox). The record is from RNAcentral. Lineage: Eukaryota; Metazoa; Chordata; Mammalia; Chiroptera; Pteropodidae.